This is a long non-coding RNA of Brassica napus (rape), 2226 nucleotides long. RefSeq lists it as uncharacterized. The record is from RefSeq and is a predicted model, not a curated record. NCBI's taxonomy places the organism in Eukaryota, Viridiplantae, Streptophyta, Magnoliopsida, Brassicales, Brassicaceae. The transcript is spliced from 2 exons.
GCAUAAAUCAAAUACACAAUACAUGGGUGAGUUAUGUUUUUUACAUAGAAAACCAAAAAUACAGGCUUUCUGCACCAUUCUGGUAUUCAUCCAUGUAUCCAAGCUUCAAUGAACUCCUCUGUGUCGUCUCUGCUGAAUCUGUCACUUCUUUUCAUCUCCUUCAUUUUCUUUUUGUUCAAUUUUCUCUUCCACUCAGAUCUGAAAAAAAAUUAGAUUAUCCAAAUAUGGGUAUGAAAUCACAAACAAACUUAAUUAAAUACAUCCCACAAUUGUCGAUCUGGAUGUUUUUUGGAAUGUAUUUGUCUUUUCUCCUCGGAAUGCACACUUCUUAUAGCUAGGUUUUCGGAGAUUGGCGGAAAGUAACUCAGUCACAACUGCAUAUAUAAACCAAACUGCAUAUAUAAACCAGCCGUAAAAGAAAAGUAAUUCAGCCACAACAUAAAUUAAAACUCAGCCACAAACUCGAAAAACGCAGCAGAGAAGAUGAUUUCGGGCGAUUACAGCGAAAAAUAUUUCGUAAAAACGAUUGGAGACGACGAUUUCGGGGAAGAUGAUAUUAGAGAAGACAAGACAGAGAGUUAGUUCGAGGAAGACGGAGUAAACACAAUGUCGAUGACGAUUUCAGGGAAGAGGCGGUUAGGGUUCCUUUAGUUCUUUGACGAAGUUGUGCUGUGUUGUUGUGUUUUUUUAUAACGUUAUGUAAUUAAAGGGAUGAUUGAUUGUUCUCUAUUACUGAUGUGGAUAUUUAAUUAGUGAUGUGGAUUUAUUGUUUAAAAAUAAUUUCAAUUAAAAAAAACUAAUCAAAUGCCCUUAUUGUCAUUUAUUAAGGGUAUCCAAACACUAUAGUAAUUUUUAAAAGAUGUAUAACACUCUAUUAAUAAACCAAUUUUUCUUAUACAUUCUAGUAAUUUUUUCUAUCUUAAAUGCAUAAAAAGUUUACAUAAAUAUCUUUAACCUAUCAAGAGAGAGAAACAGAAAUGAUUAAAACAAAUGAAAGCAGUAAACAUCAAUCACUGGCAAAGAGUGUUAAAGGAUCUAGCUAGUAGGAUAUGAAGCAUCCGAAGUCCCCCAAAGAAUAAGAGGAUUAACUUAGCCUAAAACCUAAUCACAUUAUACAGCUUAAAUUCCCACUAACUAAAUAAUGGUCAUCAACACAUUAUAUUAAUCCCUACAUGUGAUCCGAGAACAUUCUAACACAGAAGCUAGUUAUAUAUUUUCAACAAACAAAAAAGGUCGUUAAGAAACAAAAAGUCUCUGUAACGACCCGGUUUCUCUAAACCAGAUUUAGAAAUUUGUUUGGUUAAUUAUUCUCUAAACCAAACCAUUUGAAAUAAACCAAAGAGAUAUAUAAGUCGUAUACAUCUCCAUCUUUGACGAAACCUAGCCGCACACCUCCAAUUAAACCAUUGUUCACCUCCAAAAAUCUGAUGCACCGCGAUGCCACCACCGGCUCUCCCCGUUGUCUUGGAGCUAUCACGCCAUGUCAGAGAGAGAGAGCCUCGUCAUCACUGGUCAAACGUCUCACGUGUUGUUGUCUCGCAUCGAACUCGAGAGAUGUAUAUAUGACGUGAGGAGGAGGCGCACAAAGACGGAGCCACCGUCUCACCACCGCCGCACCGAUCAGAUCCACACUGUUGUUAGUCGCAAGCCAUUGGAGGAGGCAGUCAUGUCUCCAGAGAGUCGUGAUAGCCAGAGAUCGUACCAGCCACCGUCAUCAACCGUUAUCUAGCUAAGUGUUGCCUCCUUUGUUACUUGUGCCACAAGUAACGUAUAUACCACAAACCUUAAACGUGUCUUUGCAUGUGUUUAGGUGUAGUGAAUCUUAUGCCAACCUGGAGUUAGUUGCCCAUCAUUUUAAAAUAAGGCGUACAAAGAUUUAUGGAACAAGUUUCGCUCGACACCAUGAUUAGGUUGGAAUCUUUUAAAGUGAUGUUAGGCGAGAUCGUUCCCGAGCUUUUGAUGAGCUAUAUCCAAUAUUUGCUAAGGUGAGACAGAUGAGUAUAUGAUAUUUGGACGGAUUUGGUGCUACUGGACUUUUUAUUCGGAUUUUUAUUUGGGCUUUGGGUGAGUGUAAUUGGGUAUAUGGGCUUUAAUUAUACGAGAUAUUGUUGGUGGCCCGCUGUUCUCCGGAUUGGAGGUGACGGGUGUCAGUCUCCGUAAGAAUAAAACCGGAUUGUAACUCAACAAGGAAUCAUUAGUUUUAACACAAAAGCAACUAGUUUUAAA